This 253-nucleotide ribosomal RNA is filed under the name uncultured bacterium. Its description in RNAcentral is "partial 16S ribosomal RNA". It matches the Rfam family "Bacterial small subunit ribosomal RNA", at positions 524 to 776 of the family's 1533-position model. The record is from RNAcentral.
UACAGAGGGUGCGAGCGUUGUCCGGAAUUACUGGGCGUAAAGGGUUCGUAGGUGGCUUGCUAAGUCAGACGUGAAAUCCCUCAGCUUAACUGGGGAACUGCGUCUGAGACUGGUGAGCUUGAGUGCAGGAGAGGAACGCGGAAUUCCAGGUGUAGCGGUGAAAUGCGUAGAUAUCUGGAGGAACACCGGUGGCGAAGGCGGCGUUCUGGACUGCUACUGACACUGAGGAACGAAAGCCAGGGGAGCAAACGGG